AACAGGAUUAGAUACCCUGGUAGUCCAUGCCGUAAACGAUGAGUGCUAGGUGUUGGAGGGUUUCCGCCCUUCAGUGCCGGAGCUAACGCAUUAAGCACUCCGCCUGGGGAGUACGACCGCAAGGUUGAAUCUCAAAGGAAUUGACGGGGGCCCGCACAAGCGGUGGAGCAUGUGGUUUAAUUCGAAGCUACGCGAAGAACCUUACCAGGUCUUGACAUCUUGCGCCAACCCUAGAGAUAGGGCGUUUCCUUCGGGAACGCAAUGACAGGUGGUGCAUGGUCGUCGUCAGCUCGUGUCGUGAGAUGUUGGGUUAAGUCCCGCAACGAGCGCAACCCUUGUUACUAGUUGCCAGCAUUAAGUUGGGCACUCUAGUGAGACUGCCGGUGACAAACCGGAGGAAGGUGGGGACGACGUCAGAUCAUCAUGCCCCUUAUGACCUGGGCUACACACGUGCUACAAUGGACGGUACAACGAGUCGCGAACUCGCGAGGGCAAGCAAAUCUCUUAAAACCGUUCUCAGUUCGGACUGCGGGCUGCAACUCGCCUGCACGAAGUCGGAAUCGCUAGUAAUCGCGGAUCAGCAUGCCGCGGUGAAUACGUUCCCGGGCCUUGUACACACCGCCCGUCACACCAUGAGAGUUUGUAACACCCAAAGUCGGUGGGGUAACCUUUUAGGAGCCAGCCGCCUAAGGUGGGACAGAUGAUUAGGGUGAAGUCGUAACAAGGUAACC
Molecule: ribosomal RNA, 731 nt
Filed under: uncultured bacterium
Lineage: Bacteria
Description: bacterial SSU rRNA
Rfam family: Bacterial small subunit ribosomal RNA
Source: RNAcentral